This 332-nucleotide long non-coding RNA is filed under the name Brassica rapa (field mustard). Its description in RNAcentral is "long non-coding RNA (BRAP_LNC006089)". Lineage: Eukaryota; Viridiplantae; Streptophyta; Magnoliopsida; Brassicales; Brassicaceae. The record is from RNAcentral.
ACUGCAUUAAAAAAUGGAAAAACUACAUUAAACAUAUGUAAGAUUACUAUUUUUCACUUAAAAAAAAAAAGACGGCUUAUCUCCAUAAUGUAACAUUACCGUUUUAUAAAAAAAAAACAUUAUAUAUAAUUUCGAAAAUAAUAAAUAUAAGUAAAACAUACAACAUAAAAAAUGGAAAUACUACAUUAAACAUAAAUAUGUUUGACUAUUUGUCCAAGUUCUUCUAUUAAACAUUGCCGUUUUACAUUAAAAAUAGAAAAAUACGUAAAGAUUUAAACAUCUAUCUUAAAAUAUAAAAUAUAGACAUUAACUAAAUAUAAAGUAUAAAAAAG